GAUGAACGCUAGCGGCAGGCUUAACACAUGCAAGUCGAGGGGCAGCAUGAGGGUUAGCAAUAACCCUUGAUGGCGACCGGCGCAAGGGUGCGUAACGCGUGAGCAACUUGCCCGUUUCAGGGGGAUAACCGGUGGAAACGCCGACUAAUACCCCAUGGUGAUGGUUUGAGGCAUCUCUUUCCAUCUAAAGAAUUUCGGAAACGGAUAGGCUCGCGUGACAUUAGCUAGAUGGCGGGGUAACGGCCCACCAUGGCGACGAUGUCUAGGGGUUCUGAGAGGAAGGUCCCCCACACUGGAACUGAGACACGGUCCAGACUCCUACGGGAGGCAGCAGUGAGGAAUAUUGGUCAAUGGUCGGAAGACUGAACCAGCCAAGUAGCGUGAAGGAUGAAGGUUCUAUGGAUUGUAAAACUUCUUUUAUACGGGAAUAAAACUACCCACGUGUGGGGGCGUUGUA
Molecule: ribosomal RNA, 457 nt
Filed under: uncultured bacterium
Lineage: Bacteria
Description: bacterial SSU rRNA
Rfam family: Bacterial small subunit ribosomal RNA
Source: RNAcentral